GAUGAACGCUGGCGGCGUGCCUAAUACAUGCAAGUCGAGCGAACUGAUGAGGAGCUUGCUCCUCUGACGUUAGCGGCGGACGGGUGAGUAACACGUGGAUAACCUACCUAUAAGACUGGGAUAACUUCGGGAAACCGGAGCUAAUACCGGAUAAUAUAUUGAACCGCAUGGUUCAAUAGUGAAAGACGGUUUUGCUGUCACUUAUAGAUGGAUCCGCGCCGCAUUAGCUAGUUGGUAAGGUAACGGCUUACCAAGGCAACGAUGCGUAGCCGACCUGAGAGGGUGAUCGGCCACACUGGAACUGAGACACGGUCCAGACUCCUACGGGAGGCAGCAGUAGGGAAUCUUCCGCAAUGGGCGAAAGCCUGACGGAGCAACGCCGCGUGAGUGAUGAAGGUCUUCGGAUCGUAAAACUCUGUUAUUAGGGAAGAACAAAUGUGUAAGUAACUAUGCACGUCUUGACGGUACCUAAUCAGAAAGCCACGGCUAACUACGUG
RNAcentral lists this ribosomal RNA (497 nucleotides) under uncultured bacterium. RNAcentral describes it as "partial 16S ribosomal RNA". It matches the Rfam family "Bacterial small subunit ribosomal RNA", at positions 28 to 507 of the family's 1533-position model. The record is from RNAcentral.